RNAcentral lists this ribosomal RNA (433 nucleotides) under uncultured bacterium. RNAcentral describes it as "partial 16S ribosomal RNA". It matches the Rfam family "Bacterial small subunit ribosomal RNA", at positions 29 to 507 of the family's 1533-position model. The record is from RNAcentral.
AGCGAACGCUGGCGGCAGGCCUAACACAUGCAAGUCGAACGAACCUUUCGGGGUUAGUGGCGGACGGGUGAGUAACACGUGGGAACGUGCCCUUAGGUUCGGAAUAACUCACGGAAACGUGUGCUAAUACCGAAUGUGCCCUUCGGGGGAAAGAUUUAUCGCCUUUGGAGGGGCCCGCGUUGGAUUAGCUAGUUGGUUGGGUAAAGGCCCACCAAGGCGACGAUCCAUAGCUGGUCUGAGAGGAUGAUCAGCCACAUUGGGACUGAGACACGGCCCAGACUCCUACGGGAGGCAGCAGUGGGGAAUCUUGCGCAAUGGGCGAAAGCCUGACGCAGCCAUGCCGCGUGAAUGAUGAAGGUCUUAGGAUUGUAAAAUUCUUUCACCGGGGACGAUAAUGACGGUACCCGGAGAAGAAGCCCCGGCUAACUUCGUG